AUAGAUACCCGGGUAGUCCACGCCCUAAAACGAUGCGAACUGGAUGUUGGGUACAUUACGGUACUCAGUGUCGAAGCUAACGCGUUAAGUUCGCCGCCUGGGGAGUACGGUCGCAAGACUGAAACUCAAAGGAAUUGACGGGGGCCCGCACAAGCGGUGGAGUAUGUGGUUUAAUUCGAUGCAACGCGAAGAACCUUACCUGGCCUUGACAUCUGUCGAAUCCUGCAGAGAUGCGGGAGUGCCGCAAGGAACGACAAGACAGGUGCUGCAUGGCUGUCGUCAGCUCGUGUCGUGAGAUGUUGGGUUAAGUCCCGCAACGAGCGCAACCCUUGUCCCUAGUUGCCAGCACGUAAUGGUGGGAACUCUAGGGAGACUGCCGGUGACAAACCGGAGGAAGGUGGGGAUGACGUCAAGUCCUCAUGGCCCUUACGGCCAGGGCUACACACGUACUACAAUGGUCGGUACAGAGGGUUGCGAAGCCGCGAGGUGAAGCCAAUCCCAGAAAACCGAUCCCAGUCCGGAUUGGAGU
RNAcentral lists this ribosomal RNA (529 nucleotides) under uncultured bacterium. RNAcentral's name for it is "bacterial SSU rRNA". It matches the Rfam family "Bacterial small subunit ribosomal RNA", at positions 778 to 1304 of the family's 1533-position model. The record is from RNAcentral.